AACUCCGUGCAUCUGCACCUAAACACACACACACACACACCUACAUAUGCCCCCGUCCCCCUUGAUUAUCUGUUUCGCGUUCACCGCCACCGCAGAACGUAUGGAACCACACGCCACACUUUCACCUCCGUUGUGAUCCCAUCGGACAUGUUGAAUAUUGUUCUCGCCAAGCGUACCCCGGAACAGGUGGUUGUGGAGCACGCGGGCAGCACCCUGGAUGAGGGCGCCGAUACCCUUCCCCGCGGUUCAGCGCCGCGAUGUGUUUACAUUCAGCACAGAAGACACCACCCCAUGGAGCGGCUACGCGCAUGCACUGGUGGCGCGCCGCAAUAUGCAAGAGGCACUUGACGUGUAUGCCGAGCACUAACGUCAUGGUGCGUUGUAGGCACGUAUGGCCCCGCGUGCCGAAGCAGCGCCGCGGCGCAUCGACACUGCAGUUGCUGGUGGCCUGCAUCACAGGGUUUUUGUUACUGGGACGACGACGCCCAACAGACACUUAAGCGCAGGGUUGACGUCAGGCUUUCGAGGCGAUUGGGGGUGCGAGGGAUGUAAAGAGAGAGGGUGAGGAGGGGGCACGAAAUGCAUGCAUGCGUACCCCAGUGGUGCCGAUGUGACCGCAGUGCCCUUGCGUCGUCGUCUCUGGCUUGAUGUGGGCACUCCUACCGCGAUGGUGUACCCCUGAUGGCACAAGUCGAGCAGGCGCACACAACCACACUUAUUCUAUCCGUGGACUGUCCCGUUCUUGCAGUCUCCCUUCGGAGUCCUUCCGCUGUGUGUGUUUUGCGUUUUUGAUGAGCCCAUUGAAAUGUGUCGAGGGCUUGUGUGCGCAAAGCCGCGUCUGCUGCAUCUUCCUGCGGUAGUGGUGUGCACCGCAUGUGUGGCAAUGGUGUGUGCCCCUCCCCCCCUUUGCCGGUCAUCCAUCCGGCCCUCUUUUGCUUUUCUUCGUGUUUUUUCUUGAUGGCUUACUCGCCCUACCCCACCCCCUUCCUCUCGUUAUGGCCUCCCUUCUGCUAGUAUGGCAGCAUGCCAGCCUUCCCUUGUUUUGUCUCCCGCUGUGUCCCUCAUCCGAUACGGUGCCUCUCUCUCUGUGUCUUAUGAAGCCGCUCCUGCAGCGGGGCGCCUUUUGCCGACGAACGUUCAAAGGCGCACCUGCCCAGGCGAGCACACACACCCAGCCACACAUACACACACACGAAGGGCUGCAACGGCACGGGCGCACAUUCGCGCAUAUAAACUGUUUGCCCAGAGCGUGUAAGUUGGAAAAAAA
RNAcentral lists this unclassified non-coding RNA (1267 nucleotides) under Leishmania donovani. RNAcentral's name for it is "gene:unknown". Lineage: Eukaryota; Euglenozoa; Kinetoplastea; Trypanosomatida; Trypanosomatidae. The record is from RNAcentral.